RNAcentral lists this long non-coding RNA (600 nucleotides) under Oryctolagus cuniculus (rabbit). Its description in RNAcentral is "lncRNA (ENSOCUG00000016432.4)". The record is from RNAcentral. Lineage: Eukaryota; Metazoa; Chordata; Mammalia; Lagomorpha; Leporidae.
GCAAUAAUCAUGAUGGUGCCCAGUUUUACCAGACCACAGUCAUGUGAUCAUUGUCACCUCCACGCACGGCCAUCGAAAGAUAAGCUUGGGGCUGUAGCCACGUCCAAGGGAGAUCUAGCCUGAUGGAGUGUCCUGGAGGCAGCUGAAGGAGUGACAGAUCGGCGUGUUACAGAGUGGGGCCAUUUGAGGCAGCCAGGAAGGUGGGACACACUCGGGCUGCCUGCCUUGCACUGACGAAAUGCACAAAGGGAGAGGAGAGUGGAAGACAAAGCCUACACAUGGAGCUGCCACAAGAAGUCUUUCAGCUACUGAGCAGCUAGGAUCCCCGGGGCAAGGAUGGCAGAGCAACUUCCCAAGGCUGGCUGGCCGAGACAGAUCGUUUUCCAAUUUCACGGGCUCUGUGGAUGACCGCGGCACCUGCCAGUGCUCCGUGUCCCUGCCAGACAAGGUCUUUCCCGUGGAAAGAGUGGAACGCUUGGAAUUCACAGCUCACAUCCUUUCCGAGAAGUUCGAGAAAGAGCUUUCUAAAGUAAGCAUUUUCUUUUCCACUAGUAUGUUGGUAAGAAUAAACAAACAACAAAACAAAACUUUUUAUAAUUC